Molecule: microRNA precursor, 171 nt
Filed under: Podarcis lilfordi (Lilford's wall lizard)
Lineage: Eukaryota; Metazoa; Chordata; Lepidosauria; Squamata; Lacertidae
Source: RNAcentral
AAGAGCUGCUGAGUGGGGAGGAGAGAGGGACAGAGAGCCUGCUUGCUUUAAAGGAGCAAAGCGGGAGAGGAGAGGAGCCGCUUACACGAGUGUAAGCGGCUCCUGUCCAGUUGGCUCCUUUAAAGCAAGCAGGCUCUCUGUCCCUCUCUCCUCCCCACUCAGCUGGCUAAA